This 172-nucleotide small RNA is filed under the name Cervus elaphus hippelaphus. The record is from RNAcentral. Lineage: Eukaryota; Metazoa; Chordata; Mammalia; Artiodactyla; Cervidae.
CAGAUGCUCUGAAGGUUGAUACCAGAGGACUCUAGAGUCCUUGAUCUGAAGUUACAUAAUGUGCUAUAGCAUUGAUUGGGCGUCUGCACUAAGUUUUGCAGCCUAUGGCUGUCCUGUACAUGUUGAAGAUAGCUAGGUUGCCUGUGGAAAGUUAAACAAGUUCAUGUCAAAA